CCGCAGAGCGAUUCGCGUCCCGGAAGCGGCGGUGGCGGCGGCGGCGUAGGCGGAGGAGAUUUUCGGACCUGCGACUUCCGAACAGCCCUGGCAGGAGGAGCGGCGUUCGGCCGGGGCAGGCCUGAAGAAACGCUCCGGGGCCCAGUGGCUCUACCCCUGCUCCUGCCCGACUCUGCCGCCUCCCUCACGGAGCCAGCGGCCGGGAUGCAGACAUCAGAACGUGAGGGGAGUGGGCCGGAGCUGAGCCCCAGCGUGAUGCCCGAGGCUCCCCUGGAGUCUCCACCUUUUCCUACCAAGUCCCCAGCGUUUGACCUUUUCAACUUGGUUCUCUCCUACAAGAGGCUGGAGAUCUACCUGGAACCCUUGAAGGAUGCAGGUGAUGGUGUUCGAUACUUGCUCAGGUGGCAGAUGCCUUUGUGUUCCUUGCUGACCUGCCUGGGCCUCAACGUCUUGUUCCUCACUUUGAAUGAGGGUGCAUGGUACUCAGUAGGUGCCCUGAUGAUUUCAGUGCCCGCCCUGCUGGGCUACCUUCAGGAGGUUUGCCGGGCACGGCUGCCUGAUUCCGAGCUGAUGCGGAGGAAGUAUCAUAGCGUGAGGCAGGAGGACCUGCAGAGAGUUUGCCUGUCUCGUCCCGAGGCCGUGGCUGAGGUGAAGAGCUUCUUGAUCCAGCUGGAGGCCUUCCUGAGCCGCCUGUGCUGCACCUGUGAAGCUGCCUACCGCGUGCUGCACUGGGAGAACCCCGUCGUGUCCUCACAGUUCUAUGGGGCUCUUCUGGGCACAGUCUGCAUGCUGUAUUUGCUGCCACUCUGCUGGGUUCUCACCCUUUUAAACAGCACGCUCUUUCUGGGGAAUGUGGAGUUCUUCCGAGUUGUGUCUGAGUACAGGGCAUCUCUGCAGCAGAGGAUGAACCCAAAGCAGGAAGACCAUGCCUUUGAGAGUCCUCCACCACCAGAUGUUGGGGGGAAGGAUGGUCUGAUGGACAGCACACCUGCCCUCACACCCACGGAGAGUCUCUCUUCCCAGGACGUCACACCGGGCAGCGUGGAGGAGGCUGAGGAGGCUGAGCCAGAUGAAGAGUUUAAAGAUGCGAUUGAGGAGGAUGAUGAGGGCGCCCCGUGCCCAGCAGAGGAUGAGCUGGCCCUGCAGGACAACGGGUUCCUGAGCAAGAAUGAGGUGCUGCGCAGCAAGGUGUCUCGGCUCACGGAGCGGCUCCGCAAGCGCUACCCCACCAACAACUUCGGUGCGGCCAGGGGACAGGGCUGGGCUGGUGGGGGAGUGGGGGUGGACUUCUGGGACUCUAGUAGGGAACACCCAGCCACAGGGGCAGAGUCUCAGAACUGUGGGUACUGACUUGUGACAAGAGCAGGGAGUGAAGGUGUGUCCGCGGGACCCCGGGGAGCUAGCAGAUGCCCAGCAGGACUGCUGAGGGAGUGGGUGUGGGUUCCUUCUUGUCCCUCCACCCUGAUUGGACAUUCACUUGUGGGAAGACAAGGAACUCAGUGUGGGAAAUGCCAUCCCAGGACUGCAGAGAACCAUAAUCCUGACAGAACUUCAGAAGGCAGUGUAGCAUGAUGGUGAGGAACAGAGUAGAGUCUCACUGCCUGCUGCAAAUCCCAGCUCAGCCAGGUGUCCUUGAGCAAAUUAUUUCACACCCCAUGCCUCAGUUUCCCCUUCUGUAAAAGGGGGAUCAUCAUUCUUACCUCAUAGGGUUGUUACAGGUCUCAUGUCAAAUGAGACAGUAGUACUUACGAAGGGCUAGCACAGUGCUGGUUGGUUCAUAGUAAGUAGUGGGUGCGGUUAAUGUGGGAGGCCCUGACCCACGCUGUGGGUUCCUAGGAUCCUGUCUUGGUCUUUCUGAUCCAGCUGGAAGCAGGUUGAAGCAAACAUUGUUUCUCUGGACGUGAUAGAGCCCUGAGUUCACCUCUCCCCAGCCAGUCCUUAAUUUACUGAGGGUCGGGGGAGAGCGGUCAAGGAAGGCAGCUUUGGAGAAGGGUGGACUUGACAGCACAGCUUGGAGACCUGGCUCAGAUCAGCAGCGCUGGGAGCUGAGCCACAUACAAUUAUGGUGGAAACCUAGAGUAGCUAGGUUGACCUGGGAGCUGCUGUGCUCCUGAGGAAGGGCCCUCCUGCCUGCUGUCAGAUGGGAGCAGGGUAUGGGGGCAGUACUGUGUGUUCUGGUGUUGAGUGAGUUCUAGGGUCUGUGCCCUGGAAGAAGACAAUGGAGUUUAUCUUGAGGAAUUUGACCCAGGGCCCCCAGGGUCCUGCCUUCCUGCCCCUGCAGCAGCCAGGGCAGUUGUUUUCUCAGGAUUAGAUGUCCUGGACAGGCUCUUUCUUUCUGCUGUGUGAAUGUCCCCCAGUUAUUCAAGAUCCCUUUUUGUUUUUUUUUUUUUGAGACAAGGUCUCACUGUGUCUCCCAGGCUGGAGUGCAGUGGCAUGAUCACAGCUCACUGCAGCCUCGACUUCCUGGGCUCAAGUCAUCCUCACAGCUCAGCCUCCUGAGUAGCUGGGACUACAGGCAUGCAGCACCAUGCCUGGCUAAUUUUUUGAUUUUUUUUUUUGUAGAGACAGGGUCUUACUUUGUUCCUCAGGCUGGUCUCGAACUCCUGGGUUUAAGUGAUCCUUGUACCUUGGUCUUCCAAAGUGUUAGGAUUACAAGUGUGAGCCACCACGCCUGGCCCCUUUGUUUUAUUUAUGCUGCCCGCUGACUUCUGCAGGGCAUUCUGUAUGUUCAGUGAUCUGUUUACCCUCCAUACUUGCAUAUGUGUGAUCUCAUUUCAUCCUUACCGUAGGUGUGACAGGAGCAGGCAGUUCUUAAGGGUGCAGAGCAGCCAGGUUCCAGCAGUGCCCAGUAACACUACACACAAGAAGUAUUACUCUGGUCCAGCAAAUAAUUUGUCUAUUUCUACAACUUCUAAGUAAAGGGAACUGCACGGGCUGCUCGGCCACCUUCUCAGUGCUGAAGAAGAGGCGGAGCUGCAGUAAUUGUGGAAACAGCUUCUGCUCUCGAUGCUGCUCCUUCAAGGUGCCCAAGUCCUCCAUGGGGGCCACAGCCCCUGAAGCCCAGAGGGAGACUGUGUUUGUGUGUGCCUCGUGUAACCAGACCUUGAGCAAGUGAGAAGAGAGGCCAGGGUCCAACCAGGCACCCGUCCUUGGGGCCAGCAGUAGACCCCCCACUCUCCCCACCCUUGGCCCACUGUGGUGUGUACUGGGCAAAUGUGGCCUGAAUGCUAGGUAGGCUUCCCCUUCCUUCCUCACUCUCUCCAGCUGGAUUCUGGAGCUGUUCUCCACCCAUGAGAGUGGCUGGCAAUGGCUGCUCUCAAUCCCUUGAGGGAGAAGAGCCCCUGGAGGGCCUGGCAUGUUUGCCCUGCUCUGCCUGGGACUGAGCGAGUGGACUUAGGGCAGGGCAGGCAGUAGCCACCAGAGGGCAGCAGCGAACUAGGCCAGGCCUGACUGGGGUCUGAAGAUCAGGGUCAGUGUGGCUAUGCCUGGGAAUUCCAGACCUGAGGUUGGGAAAAGAGGUUUUUCUCCUGCAGGGUACUGGGCCAGGCCCUCAGCCUCAGAGAGCCUGCAGAAGGGCUUGGAGUGCCACACUCCAUCUCUGCUGAUUGAAUGUCCCUCCAGGCACCAGGAUCGCAUCAUUUCCCCAUCAGAGGGUGUGGCCAGGCCUAACAAGACCAUGGGUGCUUCUAGAAACAGGGUUGAAGUUCCCAGAUUCCCUGAGAGGAGAAUGUGUAUAGGAGGGUUUGGCUGAGUCCUUCAGCGUUAAGUGGAGGAAAGCUUGGGGAAGCCCCAAUGCUGGACAGACCUCAGCCUCCCCUCGAAGACACCUCAAUUCACAGACUCUCAGCCCACACAAUGCCCCAGUGUCCCCAGCUCUGCUGGAGCAGCUGCAGGGCACUUGGAUCACAACUUCUGCACCCUCUGUCCAGAGUCUAGGGCAGUCCUCCCCUGGCCCAGCACUCCAGUUUCCUUUCCCUGCCUCUUGUCCAAUGGAGUGGGAGGCCAGGUGAGUGGAGCAGAGGUCCUGAAGCCCUUGACCCCUGGGGGCCUGGGUAGUGUAGGAUCUCGCUGGGCUGGGUCCUGGAUUCCAGGGCUAUUCCCUGGAGGACAGUCUCAGUUAUGGGAUAAGGCCCCCUGGGGGUCUCCAUUUCUUUCCAACAGUUUCAUGUUCACUACUGGACUCCUACGGGCUCAGUUUCUCUCCCUUAGCCAUGAGCUGGCUCAGGCAUCCCUUCCCUUCCCUGGAGCUGCCCUGCCUUUCUAAAGUAUUUAUUUAUUUAUUGCAUGGUUCCUGGGAACAUGUAGCACAAGUAAUGGGAUGAGGAGGAAUUGGGGGUGGGGGUCUCCUACCUAGGACUCUUCCCUGGAGUCAUGGGCUGCCUGGGACCCAGGACCCAUGAGGGGGCUGAGAGGUUUCUACACUCGAGGAGCAGGGGUCCAGAGAGGCAGGCUGGGGAGGCAAGGGACCCAUCCUAGGCCCGCUUUCUUGCCGAGCCAAGCAGCUUAGCUGGGGCUGUGCAGCCAGGGGCCUACCCAGGCCAGUGGAGGUGCCACAGCCCUGGGGAGCCAGACAGGCUUUGGUAUCGUAUCGCCUCUGUGUCCUUUUAAGAGAGGAGAGUUCAGUACCCCGUGCUUUCUUUACACUGGAGAGGAACUAAAAGGAUCUCUGUGUCUAUGGAGAAUUGUCAAUAAAAAGGCCUCAAGCUUC
Pan troglodytes (chimpanzee) is the source of this 4708-nucleotide RNA transcript. It is a transcript of the gene named zinc finger FYVE-type containing 27, with no coding region annotated. The record is from RefSeq and is a predicted model, not a curated record. NCBI's taxonomy places the organism in Eukaryota, Metazoa, Chordata, Mammalia, Primates, Hominidae. The transcript is spliced from 12 exons.